Gasterosteus aculeatus aculeatus (three-spined stickleback) is the source of this 2237-nucleotide long non-coding RNA. The record is from Ensembl. Lineage: Eukaryota; Metazoa; Chordata; Actinopteri; Perciformes; Gasterosteidae.
CCUUUGCGAGCUGCCACAUUAAUGAUGCUCACAUAGAAUGCAUCACUAUUUGUAACAUCAUGUACACUAUUCUAGAAUGAGUACUUUUACAUUAAAUACUUAUAUAUUUUGAUUGACCUUUACUUGUAAAAGUAUUUUUACACUGCAGUACAGGAGUACAGUGUAAAAGCUAUAGUGAUAAUCGGAGAUGAGUUUGUCCCUUACAUCACAAAACAGGAUACAGAAAGGUUAACCUGCAACACACAAAACACAUCACUAGAUGGAAGCAAAAGCUCAUGUGAAGAACAAACAAUUCAUUCAGACUGAAGCUGCUUUUCAGCACAGUUUUUCAUCAAACCUCUCAGGAGCAUUUCUCCUCAAAAGCCUUUGGGAUAACCCGCCACGCUAGUGAUGAUGAGAUCAUUCACGGAUAAACUAGAAAAUUCCCUGUUAUUAUUCCUUUGAUAAAACCUUUUCAAAAUAGUGUGAAGUGUGAAACAUGAAACACGCAGCAUAUAAUUAAUCUACAUACAUCCGUUGAGUUCAGGCUUCUCUGUAACAAGACACAUUGCAAUUAGUGAGAUAAAUGGAACUUAAUAGCAUUUAUUGUGUUUCCUGGUCACUUCAGCGUUGCAAUUUUGUGAGCUCAUAAAUUUAUACAAAAAGCUCACGGAAUCAAGUUUCAAAAGAAACAGCGUCGGAUUUCUGCCAGAAGGUGUUAUUACACCUAAACCACAGCAAACAGCAAAAUAUUCAGAAGGAGUCCCUAUAUCAUUUGAUUUGUUUGAGGCAGGGGCCUUUGUGCCUGGCUCAGCACAUUAUUGAUCUUGGGGUUAUUUUUCUUUCUCCUGAGAGCUGUUGCAAACGGGCUGUGCAAGAGGCCGUUCAAGUCUGCAAGAGAGAAAAUCUAUGGGUUAAUUGAUUGCUAGCAACCGCAUCGUAAAUAGCCAAACAAAAGCAUGUUUUUCUUGUUCAGAGGGAGAUUCGUUUCUGUUCUCAAGCUUUAUUUUAAUUUAUACAAUUUUUUUUUUGUAACUAAUUUACAUUGAUUAAAUACAUCCAAGUGCUGUGUUCCGAACUCCAAAUGUCCAAUGCUUAAACUGCUAUAGGUGCUACAGUGAGAACUGUAAUCAUCUAAUAUAGACUGCUGUACAGAAGAACACACACACACAUACUUAUAGAGAUGACAUGUCUGAGAAAUAUGCUUAUGAGUCAACGAUGCGAGAAACUGAGGUGCAAGCAUCAACGCAAGGAAACAUUCUAACCCACAACUUCCUGUCAAAUCUUUGAAAUCUUUAAAAAUGAAAAGUUCACGCCUGAGGUUUAGACGCAGUUUCACUGUCCUACACAGUGCAUUCCUGGUCACUGAGUGUUUUGAGAAGAAUGUCACAGAGCACGGCAGCUAAGAGGCCAAAUAUGCCACUGAGCUGGUCUUAAAAGGAGUGCCGCUCUAACUGCAACGCUCCUGUAGGUGCUCCUUUGUUGAGACAUUAUAUCCCUGAGAAAGAGCAAACUAUUGUUUGUGAAACCACCUACUCGCUUAUCUCACCUCCACCGAACUUAACUUCAUUUGGAAAACUGCAAAUUGCAGAGGAAAGGUUAAAUUACAUGAAGAUAACUGUUUUUGGUGAUAUAUCAUAAUUCCUGAUUGAUGAUAAUAGAGGAGGUACUUUGGUAUACAACAGAGCAGGCUUUGUCACAGCACAAAGCAUUUAUUAUCCCCAUGGCAGAGGGGAAACAGUCCUCAUGCAGCCCGCUUCCUGCUUAUCUCAGACAUGGGGAAGGCACUAUAUAAUCACUGGCCGUCUGGAUGUCAGACUGUAGUAUCUGAAGUCCAUGCUCUAGUUGUUUCCUGUUACAAAUGUUAGACAACACUGUGAUCAAUACAUUUUCUGGCUUUUCCGUUUCUAAUAAAAAGCACUUUGUAACCUAAAAUACUGAGACACCUUGCAGAGAGGAAAUCAUAUGGGUUGGAUGAGAUCAUUUCUUUAUCGUGACAACAAAGUAUAGUAGGGCAGACACCAAAAAAAAGUGGAAAUUGUAAAACCAAGCAUUACAUAAUAAAGCCAGUGUACUUGCCUUUAUUCACUCUUCACCGUGGCAGCAUGUCCUGAGAUGAUGACCUAUAGUGUAUUUGUAGUUAUGUCUAUACUGUAUUUAUGUGAUCUAAUAAAUAUACCAUAUUCUUAUCAUACAUUAAGCAGGCUCUCUUCAGUUCAUGUUACUGAAUCUAUAUAUAUGUAGAAACAUAUCCCCCU